AGGAAGUAAUAAUAAAACAAACCUAUUUAUUUUGGUGGCAUUUCAUCUAAUUAGAGGAACUUGUUUAAUAAUCGACAACCCCCGAUAAUUUUCACUUACAUUUAAAGUUUAUAUAUCGCCAUCUAAAGAACUAAUUACAAAACAUUAUUCUAAAUAAAAUAAUAAAAAGUUAGGUCAAGGUGUAACCUAUAUUUAAGAUUUUAAUGAGUUACCUUAAACAUUAUUUAAGAAUUAUUAAAUAAUAAUUUUUUAUUAAAAAGGAUUUAACAGUAAUAUUAAAAAUAAUAAUUUUAUAUAAAAAAAACAAUUAAAUGUGC
Molecule: ribosomal RNA, 317 nt
Filed under: Platyoides walteri
Lineage: Eukaryota; Metazoa; Arthropoda; Arachnida; Araneae; Trochanteriidae
Description: partial 12S ribosomal RNA
Source: RNAcentral